GAUGAACGCUGGCGGCGUGCUUAACACAUGCAAGUCGAACGAUGAAGCCCAGCUUGCUGGGUGGAUUAGUGGCGAACGGGUGAGUAACACGUGAGUAACCUGCCCUUAACUCUGGGAUAAGCCUGGGAAACUGGGUCUAAUACCGGAUAGGAGCGCCUACCGCAUGGUGGGUGUUGGAAAGAUUUAUCGGUUUUGGAUGGACUCGCGGCCUAUCAGCUUGUUGGUGAGGUAAUGGCUCACCAAGGCGACGACGGGUAGCCGGCCUGAGAGGGUGACCGGCCACACGGGGAGAAAGAUGAGGCCAGGACUACUACGGGAGGCAGCAGGGCGGAAUAUUGCACAAUGGGCGAAGGCCUGAUGCAGCGACGCCGUGUGAAGGAUGACGGACUUCGGGUAGUAAACCACUUCCAGCAGGCAAGAAGCGAAAGUGAAGGUGCCUGAAGAAGAAGCACGGGCUAACUACGUG
RNAcentral lists this ribosomal RNA (466 nucleotides) under uncultured bacterium. RNAcentral describes it as "partial 16S ribosomal RNA". It matches the Rfam family "Bacterial small subunit ribosomal RNA", at positions 28 to 507 of the family's 1533-position model. The record is from RNAcentral.